UACGGAGGGUGCAAGCGUUAAUCGGAAUUACUGGGCGUAAAGCGCACGCAGGCGGUUUGUUAAGUCAGAUGUGAAAUCCCCGGGCUCAACCUGGGAACUGCAUCUGAUACUGGUAAGCUUGAGUCUCGUAGAGGGGGGUAGAAUUCCAGGUGUAGCGGUGAAAUGCGUAGAGAUCUGGAGGAAUACCGGUGGCGAAGGCGGCCCCCUGGACGAAGACUGACGCUCAGGUGCGAAAGCGUGGGGAGCAAACAGG
This 253-nucleotide ribosomal RNA is filed under the name uncultured bacterium. RNAcentral describes it as "partial 16S ribosomal RNA". It matches the Rfam family "Bacterial small subunit ribosomal RNA", at positions 524 to 776 of the family's 1533-position model. The record is from RNAcentral.